RNAcentral lists this ribosomal RNA (253 nucleotides) under uncultured bacterium. RNAcentral describes it as "partial 16S ribosomal RNA". It matches the Rfam family "Bacterial small subunit ribosomal RNA", at positions 524 to 776 of the family's 1533-position model. The record is from RNAcentral.
UACGUAGGGUGCAAGCGUUAAUCGGAAUUACUGGGCGUAAAGCGUGCGCAGGCGGUUGCGCAAGACAGAUGUGAAAUCCCCGGGCUUAACCUGGGAAUUGCAUUUGUGACUGUACGGCUAGAGUGUGUCAGAGGGGGGUAGAAUUCCACGUGUAGCAGUGAAAUGCGUAGAGAUGUGGAGGAAUACCGAUGGCGAAGGCAGCCCCCUGGGAUAACACUGACGCUCAUGCACGAAAGCGUGGGGAGCAAACAGG